Molecule: non-coding RNA, 567 nt
Organism: Pelodiscus sinensis (Chinese soft-shelled turtle)
Lineage: Eukaryota; Metazoa; Chordata; Testudines; Trionychidae
Source: RefSeq, a predicted model, not a curated record
CCCCCGCGGAGACGGACAGGUGGAACCCCGGAGGGAUGCAGGACCGGAGACCCCUGUACGCCGGACAAGGAGAGGCUUGCUGUGUUGCCAAUUGUAUUACCCAGAGGGUCGCCAAUACAAAGAGUUUGGAAACCAGACAGACAGAUGGACAGACAGAGCACUGUUUCAAUAUGGCACAUGGAGGAUCCAUCUGAGCACUCAGGAUAUCUCAGCACUUCUGCACCAUUCUCAGACAAUCAAAGCCUGCACUAAGUUCAACAGAUACUGAAGAUUUGGUGUCCCUCUCCCACUAGAAGUCAUCCUUCUAGUUCAAGACUGAGUUAUGUUAAUGCAGCAGCAUGGGGAAGGUUUUACUGUCACUGGGCCAUUCUACAUCUGUUCCGUGGAUAAACAGUCAAUCUGGCAUUAAGCAAGGUACUGAAGAGCUAAGAGAGGAUGAGUGAUCAGUUGUUUAAUAAAUGUGGGUUGAUAACCUAUGUGGAAAACUCCCAGCAUCGUUCCUGGCACUAAACCAACUUGUUUAUUAAAACUCCAAGGCUGUGUCUAGACUGGCCUGUUUUUCUGGAA